Molecule: ribosomal RNA, 509 nt
Filed under: uncultured bacterium
Lineage: Bacteria
Description: partial 16S ribosomal RNA
Rfam family: Bacterial small subunit ribosomal RNA
Source: RNAcentral
GACGAACGCUGGCGGCGUGCUUAACACAUGCAAGUGGUGCGACGAACCAGGCUUCGGCCUGGGGCAGAGCCGCGAACGGGUGAGUAACACGUGGGCAACCUGCCCUGUUGAUCGGGACAACCCGGGGAAACCCGGGCUAAUACCGAAUGUGGUGCCGGCUCAUGAGAGCCGUCACGAAAGGAAGCUUCGGCCUCCGCGACCGGAUGGGCCCGCGGCCCAUUAGCUUGGUGGUGGGGUAAUGGCCUACCAAGGCAACGAUGGGUAGCUGGUCUGAGAGGACGAUCAGCCACACUGGGACUGAGACACGGCCCAGACUCCUACGGGAGGCUGCAGUGGGGAAUCUUGCGCAAUGAGCGACAGCUUGACGCAGCAACGCCGCGUGGGGGAAGAAGGCUUUCGGGUCGUAAACCCCUUUCAGUUAGGACGAAGCUUUAUUGGUUAAUAACCAAUUGGAGUGACGGUACUUUCAGAAGAAGCCCCGGCUAACUACGUGCCAGCCGCCGCCGUAA